Molecule: ribosomal RNA, 791 nt
Filed under: uncultured bacterium
Lineage: Bacteria
Description: bacterial SSU rRNA
Rfam family: Bacterial small subunit ribosomal RNA
Source: RNAcentral
AGAGUUUGAUCCUGGCUCAGAUUGAACGCUGGCGGCAUGCCUUACACAUGCAAGUCGAACGGCAGCGCGGGGGCAACCCUGGCGGCGAGUGGCGAACGGGUGAGUAAUACAUCGGAACGUGUCCUGGAGUGGGGGAUAGCUCGGCGAAAGCCGGAUUAAUACCGCAUACGCUCUGAGGAGGAAAGCGGGGGAUCUUCGGACCUCGCGCUCAAGGGGCGGCCGAUGGCGGAUUAGCUAGUUGGUGGGGUAAAGGCCUACCAAGGCGACGAUCCGUAGCUGGUCUGAGAGGACGACCAGCCACACUGGGACUGAGACACGGCCCAGACUCCUACGGGAGGCAGCAGUGGGGAAUUUUGGACAAUGGGGGAAACCCUGAUCCAGCAAUGCCGCGUGUGUGAAGAAGGCCUUCGGGUUGUAAAGCACUUUUGUUCGGGAAGAAAUCCUUCGGGCUAAUACCUUGAGGGGAUGACGGUACCGGAAGAAUAAGCACCGGCUAACUACGUGCCAGCAGCCGCGGUAAUACGUAGGGUGCGAGCGUUAAUCGGAAUUACUGGGCGUAAAGCGUGCGCAGGCGGUUCGCUAAGACCGAUGUGAAAUCCCCGGGCUUAACCUGGGAACUGCAUUGGUGACUGGCGGGCUAGAGUAUGGCAGAGGGGGGUAGAAUUCCACGUAGCAGUGAAAUGCGUAGAGAUGUGGAGGAAUACCGAUGGCGAAGGCAGCCCCCUGGGCCAAUACUGACGCUCAUGCACGAAAGCGUGGGGAGCAAACAGGAUUAGAUACCCCAGUAGUCC